This 110-nucleotide ribosomal RNA is filed under the name Klebsiella pneumoniae. RNAcentral's name for it is "partial 16S ribosomal RNA". It matches the Rfam family "Bacterial small subunit ribosomal RNA", at positions 1 to 101 of the family's 1533-position model. Lineage: Bacteria; Pseudomonadati; Pseudomonadota; Gammaproteobacteria; Enterobacterales; Enterobacteriaceae. The record is from RNAcentral.
ACUUAAAUUGAAGAGUUUGAUCAUGGCUCAGAUUGAACGCUGGCGGCAGGCCUAACACAUGCAAGUCGAGCGGUAGCACAGAGAGCUUGCUCUCGGGUGACGAGCGGCGG